GAUCAUGGCUCAGGAUGAACGCUAGCUACAGACUUAACACAUGCAAGUCGAGGGGCAGCAUGACCUAGCAAUAGGUUGAUGGCGACCGGCGCACGGGUGAGUAACACGUAUCCAACCUACCGGUUAUUCCGGGAUAGCCUUUCGAAAGAAAGAUUAAUACCGGAUAGUAUAACGAGAAGGCAUCUUCUUGUUAUUAAAGAAAUUUCGAUAACCGAUGGGGAUGCGUUCCAUUAGUUUGUUUGGCGGGGUAACGGGCCC
RNAcentral lists this ribosomal RNA (258 nucleotides) under uncultured bacterium. Its description in RNAcentral is "partial 16S ribosomal RNA". It matches the Rfam family "Bacterial small subunit ribosomal RNA", at positions 15 to 266 of the family's 1533-position model. The record is from RNAcentral.